RNAcentral lists this ribosomal RNA (472 nucleotides) under uncultured bacterium. RNAcentral's name for it is "bacterial SSU rRNA". It matches the Rfam family "Bacterial small subunit ribosomal RNA", at positions 328 to 793 of the family's 1533-position model. The record is from RNAcentral.
CGCUAUCACUCCUACGGGAGGCAGCAGUGGGGAAUAUUGCACAAUGGGGGAAACCCUGAUGCAGCCAUGCCGCGUGUGUGAAGAAGGCCUUCGGGUUGUAAAGCACUUUCAGUAGGGAGGAAGGUAGUGUAGUUAACACCUGCACUAUUUGACGUUACCUACAGAAGAAGCACCGGCUAACUCCGUGCCAGCAGCCGCGGUAAUACGGAGGGUGCGAGCGUUAAUCGGAAUUACUGGGCGUAAAGCGCAUGCAGGCGGCCUGUUAAGUCAGAUGUGAAAGCCCGGGGCUUAACCUCGGAAUUGCAUUUGAAACUGGCAGGCUAGAGUCUUGUAGAGGGGGUAGAAUUUCGGGUGUAGCGGUGAAAUGCGUAGAGAUCUGAAGGAAUACCAGUGGCGAAGGCGGCCCCCUGGACAAAGACUGACGCUCAGAUGCGAAAGCGUGGGGAGCAAACAGGAUUAGAUACCCUGGUAG